GGACCAAGGAGUCUAGCAUGUGCGCAAGUCAUUGGGACUCUAUCGAAACCCAAAGGCGAAAUGAAAGCGAAGGCCGCCCUACGGGCGUGCCGAGGGAGGACGUGGCGCGCUGCGGCGCGUCGCCGCACUCCCGGGGCGUCUCUAUGGCCCAUCGCGGGUCGAGGCGCACCCAGAGCGCACACGCUGGGACCC
This 192-nucleotide ribosomal RNA is filed under the name Xantholinus sp. 2 BT-2011. RNAcentral describes it as "partial 28S ribosomal RNA". It matches the Rfam family "Eukaryotic large subunit ribosomal RNA", at positions 663 to 817 of the family's 3401-position model. The record is from RNAcentral. Lineage: Eukaryota; Metazoa; Arthropoda; Insecta; Coleoptera; Staphylinidae.